Molecule: non-coding RNA, 72 nt
Organism: Momordica charantia (bitter melon)
Lineage: Eukaryota; Viridiplantae; Streptophyta; Magnoliopsida; Cucurbitales; Cucurbitaceae
Source: the annotation of a RefSeq genome assembly
GUUGAGAUGGCCGAGUCGGUCUAAGGCGCCAGAUUAAGGUUCUGGGCGUGGGUUCAAAUCCCACUCUCAACA